GUCUUUUUUGUAAUUUUUAAAAAGUCUAACCUGCCCACUGAAAAUUUUAAAUGGCCGCAGUAUUUUAACUGUGCAAAGGUAGCAUAAUCAUUAGUCUUUUAAUUGAAGGCUGGUAUGAAUGGUUGGACGAGGUAUUAACUGUUUCAUAUAAAUUUAUAUUAGAAUUUUAUUUUUUAGUCAAAAAGCUAAAAUAAUUUUAAAAGACGAGAAGACCCUAUAAAUCUUUAUAUUUAUUAAUUUAUAAUUUUAUAGAUUUUUUUUAUUAUAAAUUUAUAUAAUAUUUUAUUGGGGUGAUAUUGAAAUUUAAUAAACUUUUAAUUUUAAAAUUCAUUGAUUAAUGAAAAAUUGAUCCGUUAUUAACGAUUAAAAAUUUAAGUUACUUUAGGGAUAACAGCGUAAUUUUUUUGGAGAGUUCUUAUCGAUAAAAAAGAUUGCGACCUCGAUGUUGGAUUAAGAGAUAAUUUUAGGUGUAGGUGCUUAAAUUUUAAGUCUGUUCGACUUUUAAAUUCUUACGUG
This 516-nucleotide ribosomal RNA is filed under the name Atherigona falcata. Its description in RNAcentral is "partial 16S ribosomal RNA". The stretch from base 387 to 516 matches the Rfam family "Bacterial large subunit ribosomal RNA", at positions 2473 to 2602 of the family's 2925-position model. Lineage: Eukaryota; Metazoa; Arthropoda; Insecta; Diptera; Muscidae. The record is from RNAcentral.